Molossus molossus (Pallas's mastiff bat) is the source of this 3055-nucleotide long non-coding RNA. RefSeq lists it as uncharacterized. NCBI's taxonomy places the organism in Eukaryota, Metazoa, Chordata, Mammalia, Chiroptera, Molossidae. The transcript is spliced from 5 exons. The record is from RefSeq and is a predicted model, not a curated record.
GCGAAGGGAGCGAAGGAAGCUCGGCCGCCAUGUUAGGAGUACCGGGACCAUUCUGCGGAGCGGGCUGUGGUUUUAGGAGGCGCGGGAGUCGAGUGGUGAGUCUGUCUACACCAUGGAAAGAUGGAAAAUUUCUUUUCCUCCUGAGGGUGUCUGAAGGGUUAAAAAUGUUGCUAUACUUUGCGCUGUUUUUCUUCCUCCUUUUUGCACCUAAUUCUGAAAACAAAAUUAACAAGUUAUUUUGGGUCCCUUAGGCUUAAGUGUCAGGAUCACCUAUAGAACUCUAAAAAUGAAUAAUUACUGCCCACCAGUAAUUCGGCAGGAGCCAAAUACUCCAGGAUUGGAACCAGAUAUUGUGUAUUUUUAAAACUACAGGUGACUGUACAAGGUUUGGAUGAUUAAGGUGGCACUAGAAAACAUUUAUUUGAAAUAUUGUAUAUAAGGCCUGAUUAAGAACUUCAGAGACCUACUAUGCACUGAAGAACUUGGAUGACUUGCCUCAUAUAAUUCAAAAUCAAAUAGCAUAAAGUGGAUUUAAGGAAGUUCUCGUUUCUCAUGGUGAAGACACACACUUUUUUAGAACGUCCUAAAUUAUCUCCUUUUGUUUCAUUAGGAGCAGGCAGGGAAACGCUGCUUUGCUGUUGUCUCCAAGUGUGUAUUUGGCAUCCAGGCUUUUCAAUAGUCACUAUAUUUGGUACAUAGUAAGAGCUAAGUAGCAGAAUGAAUGGAUAGAUCAUUUCCAUAUAAGAGGUUCACAGUUUUGAGAACAUUAAAUUCAUCAAGGUACAACGUGGGAAACAAUACUAGAGUAGGAACUAAAUGCUGUAUUUGCUGUAUAAAUGAAUAGAUUAGUGGGGGAGGGGGGCUGUAAUUCAUGGUGCCCUAGAUAGAGUUAAAAGGUAGGGUUAACAUCUUCAAGCAAUCCCAUUGGUGGGUAAGCUCCAGAGGGGAAUGUUUGUUUGUGCGUGCCUGCGUGUGCGUGUGUGUGUGUGUUUGUUUUCAUUGUAGCUGAUGUACUUCAAAACCCUGGACUGGUUUAUCUUCACCUAAUCAAUCUCAAACCUGUGGUACCUCUUUUUUCCUAGACACUUCUCAAACAUUUCAGCAUUAACCUACCUCUAACUAGAAAGUAAGAAACCUCUUAUUAGUUCAAUAAGUAAAUGAAGAGAUGUUUUAUCCUUAACAGAAAGCUAAUUAUUGUGUUGCUAUAAGUAUAUUUUUAGCUACAAUUUUCAUUCACCAGUACUUAGGGUAAGAAUCACCUCCAAUUUUAAAUUAUGGCACAAGUCUGCUCAAGGUCACCCAUUAACAAGUAGAGGAAUUAAGAACAGAAUCUAUGCCCUGGCUGGGUAGCUCAAUUAAUUAGAGCAUUUUCCAAAUACACCAAGGUUGUGGGUUUGAUCUACAUCAGGACAUACAAGAAUCAACCACUGAAUGCACAGACAGGUGGAACAUGAAAUUUUUCCCCCUCUAAAGUUAAUAAAAACCAAAAAUUUAAAAAAUAACAACCCAGGUUAACUUUUAAAUCUACACAAGAACUAGUAUUUUAAGGGAAAUGAGGAAGUAAAUGUCCCAGAUUUAAGUAGUUCCCAUCUGGCCAAGACUACAUAUAUAUGGUCUUUUCCCCACAUUUCCCAAAGGUACAACAGCCGUGUGAAACACCAUAUGGUGAAACAAAAGCUCCAUAACUAAAGCACGUUUUUAAAAAUAGCCUGAAGUUGCAAUUUAUUCUGCCUUCGAAGUGUACCUGGUAUCUUUUCAUCUUUUCUACCCUCCAAGAAAAACAUUUCAAGGUUUCCCAUUAGUGAUUUACUGCUGAAAGGAUUUAAUGGCUCCUCUCCCCCUCCAUCGCUUAUCAAUAUCAAUGAGUGUGUUUUCACAUCGCUUGUUUAGAAGGCUGUAAAACAGUUUGGACUGAAAAAAAAAUAUUAAAGUGAAUAGUGAUUUUCAAGCCCUUUUGAUCCACGUGGGGCACACUAGACCAAUAUCUAAAAAAGUGCAUCACAAUGUUUGUCAAUUCACAAGUUAAAUAGAACUUCGUUUUACAGACGAGGAAAUUGGGCAGCUGGGAAGUAUAACCAGGCCUGAUCUGUGCUGGUGUGAAAAUUGUAGGCUUUACCCAUGCCACUAGGUGUGAACAUUCACAUAGUAUAUGGACCUAAUUGCCAUUCUAAAUGCCAGGGAUUUCUGAACUCUCUCUCACCUGGUCCCAAGAGUUUAGGGUAAGGGAUUGUCUACCUAUAGUUAUUUCCACAUAAACAGUGACAACAAGACCCAGACUUUAUAGAACAAUUUGCAGCAUUUUUUAACUUGUAGUUCUUGUGCAGGCCACAUAGCACAGUUUUAUAUUUUGAAAAUAAUUAUGGACAUACAGUAUCAUUUAGUACUUGACCUGGAAAAGGUAGAACCAGUGAGUAGUGGGCCAAUGGAGAAAAUUAGAAAUCCACCUUUAAAAUGCACAAUGCUCCCCAAAAGCUGGUUACCAUGUCCAGGAAAACAACUUGAUUCUACUUUCUAACUCCCUUUUAGCACAAGGUUGCAAAAUGACUGGCUCAUAAACCAUCAAGCUGCCUUGGCACGUAACAUAGCAGACAUGUAGCAGUAGUUUAAUGGAUAAAGAAGUUGUUAAAUUACUGUAAAACGAAUGGAUUGUUUAGUCCUUUAAUAACUGACUUUCAUCACCCCAUAUCACUUCAUUCUUUUGUUAACAUUUUGUGCUAGUGAAGUAGAUUGUUAUGGACAAUGAAGGAACUAGAACAUUGCUUGACGAAGUCCUUCAAGGCUUGGACAGAAAAUGGAAUUGGAAUCCUUGAUUCCCAGUGCAGAGAAGACUGACAUUUGAUAAUAAAAUAUUUAUUGAUAGCUGUGCUUUAUACCAUUAUGUGUUUAAUGCCAUGGCCAUAAAGCCAUUACUGUAACGCUUUUUAUUUUCUAAAGGAAGCCUGCAAGAUGACUCCAGAAUGACUGUUUUUGGUGAAAUUCCUGUUUUCCUUUGGGACCAGGUUCUUUUUCUUCUUCUUUAUUGAUUUUAGAGAGGAAGGGAAAGGGAGGGAGAGAU